CACUUGAGGGGGGGGUCCCUCAGCCCCAAUUGUGAGAGGGUGUAGGCCAGGCUGAGGGAGCCCACCAGUGGCCA
RNAcentral lists this microRNA precursor (74 nucleotides) under Myotis davidii. RNAcentral's name for it is "mir-9193 microRNA precursor family". It matches the Rfam family "mir-9193 microRNA precursor family". Lineage: Eukaryota; Metazoa; Chordata; Mammalia; Chiroptera; Vespertilionidae. The record is from Rfam by way of RNAcentral.